RNAcentral lists this ribosomal RNA (233 nucleotides) under uncultured Actinomycetales bacterium. RNAcentral's name for it is "partial 16S ribosomal RNA". It matches the Rfam family "Bacterial small subunit ribosomal RNA", at positions 97 to 334 of the family's 1533-position model. Lineage: Bacteria; Bacillati; Actinomycetota; Actinomycetes; Actinomycetales. The record is from RNAcentral.
GGCGAACGGGUGAGUAACACGUGGGUGAUCUGCCCUGCACUCUGGGAUAAGCCUGGGAAACUGGGUCUAAUACCGGAUAGGACCAUGCUUUAGUGUGUGUGGUGGAAAGUUUUUCGGUGUAGGAUGAGCCCGCGGCCUAUCAGCUUGUUGGUGGGGUAAUGGCCUACCAAGGCGGCGACGGGUAGCCGGCCUGAGAGGGUGGACGGCCACAUUGGGACUGAGAUACGGCCCAG